This 452-nucleotide ribosomal RNA is filed under the name uncultured Sphingobacterium sp. Its description in RNAcentral is "partial 16S ribosomal RNA". It matches the Rfam family "Bacterial small subunit ribosomal RNA", at positions 341 to 791 of the family's 1533-position model. The record is from RNAcentral. Lineage: Bacteria; Pseudomonadati; Bacteroidota; Sphingobacteriia; Sphingobacteriales; Sphingobacteriaceae.
ACGGAAGGCAGCAGUGAGGAAUAUUGGUCAAUGGGCGGAAGCCUGAACCAGCCAAGUCGCGUGAAGGAUGAGGGUAUUAUGUAUUGUAAACUUCUUUAGCAGCAGAGUAAUAAGGUCCUCGUGAGGGCUGAUGCAAGUAUGCUGAAAAUAAGGAUUGGCUAACUCCGUGCCAGCAGCCGCGGUAAUACGGAGGAUCCGAGCGUUAUCCGGAUUUAUUGGGUUUAAAGGGUGCGCAGGCGGCUUUUUAAGUCAGGGGAAAAAUCGGGGGCCUCACCCCCAUCCUGCCGUUGAUACUGGAGAGCUUGAUUGCGGUUGAGGUUGGCGGAAUUCGUCGUGUAGCGGUGAAAUGCAUAGAUAUGACGAAGAACACCGAUUGCGUAGGCAGCUGACCAAGCCGUGAAUGACGCUCAUGCACGAAAGUGCGGGGAUCGAACAGGAUUAGAUACCCUGUA